This is a long non-coding RNA of Carassius auratus (goldfish), 481 nucleotides long. RefSeq lists it as uncharacterized. NCBI's taxonomy places the organism in Eukaryota, Metazoa, Chordata, Actinopteri, Cypriniformes, Cyprinidae. The transcript has 3 exons. The record is from RefSeq and is a predicted model, not a curated record.
GAUUCACAAAACAGCACAGCUAUGAACGCUUCACCCAACGGUUCUGUGUGUCACUGAGCAAUCAAUAAUACAGCAUCAAACUGUUGUGUGUGUUACGUGCUUCGGCAGAAUGAUCUGUCUGUACUGUAUUUAAUGAAGUGAGAGUGACCCCUGCUGGUGUCAUGUUGCAUCUUCAGACACAUCCCUUCCUCGUUUAAUAAAGGCUUCUCAAGAGGAGAGAGUGUGUCUACAGUUUCCCAAGUGAGGAGAGGGGAACAUUGCUGUGUUGUGCUGAACAACUCCCUUUAGCCGUGAUUUAUUCACAAUACAGCACAGCGUCUCGUACAUUAUUGCUGACAUAUUCCCCGGGGAAGUGCUGCCACACACAGAUAAUGCAGAUCUAGUGUACGGAUGAACUCCAGCAUCAUAUACACUGCCAUUCACAUGCUGGGAUCAGAAAGAUGUGUGAUCUGCUCUAAACAAGUCUCUUCUGCUCAACUAA